Molecule: ribosomal RNA, 341 nt
Filed under: Citrobacter sp. FES2
Lineage: Bacteria; Pseudomonadati; Pseudomonadota; Gammaproteobacteria; Enterobacterales; Enterobacteriaceae
Description: bacterial SSU rRNA
Rfam family: Bacterial small subunit ribosomal RNA
Source: RNAcentral
AUGCAACGCGAAGAACCUUACCUGGUCUUGACAUCCACAGAACUUGGCAGAGAUGCCUUGGUGCCUUCGGGAACUGUGAGACAGGUGCUGCAUGGCUGUCGUCAGCUCGUGUUGUGAAAUGUUGGGUUAAGUCCCGCAACGAGCGCAACCCUUAUCCUUUGUUGCCAGCGGUCCGGCCGGGAACUCAAAGGAGACUGCCAGUGAUAAACUGGAGGAAGGUGGGGAUGACGUCAAGUCAUCAUGGCCCUUACGACCAGGGCUACACACGUGCUACAAUGGCAUAUACAAAGAGAAGCGACCUCGCGAGAGCAAGCGGACCUCAUAAAGUAUGUCGUAGUCCG